UUCAGGGGAUAAAUUACUUUCAUAAAAUCAGAUUUUUGAACUGUACCUCUCCGUUUUACAAAUGAUGUGGGGACUGUGAAUGUCGGACAAGAAUGGUUGUAACGAAAGCGUCAGUUCAGUGGAAUACUGGAUGACUUAAAGCGUCAGAAACACUAGCACGUGUCGUCACAUCCGGAUCCAACAUCCACAUGAACAGAUCUGUCAGCUGAAGGAGCAGAUCACCUGGUGGAAGUUUCCCUUUCAGGAGCUCUUCAUAGACAACAUGCGUGCUUAACAAGCCCUACAAGUACCAAUAUCAGGUUUUAAUCUAACCUUCUGCAUAUUGCAUCAGGACUGAGACUUCAUCACCCUCUAACACUAUUCCGUACACGUCUAACAUCCGGGAAUGUUCCUCACCAUGAUAAAAGGAUAAUACGAGUGUCUAGAAAACCUGCAGAUUUUGAAGUGCGUCAUUUUUAAAGGAAUUUUUACAAAUAAAAGGGGGAAUACUGUAAACCAACAUUUAUUCGCGAGCGAGGAAUAUUCGUGGGUUUCGUGAUAUAUUUCCAUUCGCAAAAAAUAAUCACGAACCGCUUUUUUUUUCUUUGUUUAUGUUGAGAAUGUUUCUUAAGUCGCCAAAAUUAAGUCGCGGAUUGAUUACAAACGGACGAAUCGCGAAUAAAAGUUGACAUGAAUAUAAUAGUUGGUUCACGGUAUCACAGCUGAUGACAACGAAGGAGACACUGAAGUAAAACUGUGCUACUAGUGUAAUGAGUGAAAAAGUGAACUUACCUUUAUUUAUUAUUAAAUAUAAAUUGAGUUAAGGUCAAGAUCUAGUAAAUGAAAGGUGCCUACAGAUUUAUCAAACUUGAGAAAUAAAUUCCUUUAUUGAUGCUUUACAACUUUAGCUUGGUCAAAUAAGGUGUUUCGGGGCAUAAUUUGUAGGUAAACAAGAUGAAAAACUGUAUUUUAAACUGUCAUUUUCAAUGAAAAAUUAAGAAAACCAGUCAUGAAUAUGGGAGUUUUUUUCGUAUUCGGCAAAAGAAAUGUAUCCAGAUUGCCUACAGUCUCUCAGAAAACGGUAAUUAGUAUGUUCGUGGCCUCUUCUAUAAAUCAAUAUCAAAUUUAAUAUAGGUAUCCGGUUUACUUUUCAUAUGAUUUCAAAUUGAAUGCCAUGAAAACACCCCAUUUUCUACAUAAUUCUGCUAAAGCUGUAAAGUACGGGAAAAAGAAAGUUGAAAUUGAUUAUGACGUCAUAAUGGAUCUAGCACAAAAAAAUUAGUCUGAAG
Long non-coding RNA from Saccostrea cuccullata (small rock oyster), 1268 nucleotides. RefSeq lists it as uncharacterized. The record is from RefSeq and is a predicted model, not a curated record. Lineage: Eukaryota; Metazoa; Mollusca; Bivalvia; Ostreida; Ostreidae. The transcript has 4 exons.